This 477-nucleotide ribosomal RNA is filed under the name uncultured bacterium. Its description in RNAcentral is "bacterial SSU rRNA". It matches the Rfam family "Bacterial small subunit ribosomal RNA", at positions 501 to 981 of the family's 1533-position model. The record is from RNAcentral.
CUACGUGCCAGCAGCCGCGGUAAUACGGAAGGUCCGGGCGUUAUCCGGAUUUAUUGGGUUUAAAGGGAGCGUAGGCCGGAGAUUAAGUGUGUUGUGAAAUGUAGACGCUCAACGUCUGACUUGCAGCGCAUACUGGUUUCCUUGAGUACGCACAACGUUGGCGGAAUUCGUCGUGUAGCGGUGAAAUGCUUAGAUAUGGCGAAGAACUCCGAUUGCGAAGGCAGCUGACGGGAGCGCAACUGACGCUUAAGCUCGAAGGUGCGGGUAUCGAACAGGAUUAGAUACCCUGGUAGUCCGCACAGUAAACGAUGGAUGCCCGCUGUUGGUACCUGGUAUCAGCGGCUAAGCGAAAGCAUUAAGCAUCCCACCUGGGGAGUACGCCGGCAACGGUGAAACUCAAAGGAAUUGACGGGGGCCCGCACAAGCGGAGGAACAUGUGGUUUAAUUCGAUGAUACGCGAGGAACCUUACCCGGGCU